RNAcentral lists this transfer RNA (93 nucleotides) under Bacteroidia bacterium. RNAcentral describes it as "tRNA-Leu". It matches the Rfam family "tRNA". Rfam says of the family: Transfer RNA (tRNA) molecules are approximately 80 nucleotides in length. Their secondary structure includes four short double-helical elements and three loops (D, anti-codon, and T loops). Further hydrogen bonds mediate the characteristic L-shaped molecular structure. tRNAs have two regions of fundamental functional importance: the anti-codon, which is responsible for specific mRNA codon recognition, and the 3' end, to which the tRNAs corresponding amino acid is attached (by aminoacyl-tRNA synthetases). tRNAs cope with the degeneracy of the genetic code in two manners: having more than one tRNA (with a specific anti-codon) for a particular amino acid; and 'wobble' base-pairing, i.e. permitting non-standard base-pairing at the 3rd anti-codon position. The record is from RNAcentral. Lineage: Bacteria; Pseudomonadati; Bacteroidota; Bacteroidia.
GCCGAGGUGGUGGAAUUGGCAGACACGCAAGGGACUUAAAAUCCCUCGGGGCUUGCACCAAAGGCUGUGCGGGUUCGAGUCCCGCCUUCGGUA